Alligator mississippiensis (American alligator) is the source of this 550-nucleotide long non-coding RNA. RefSeq lists it as uncharacterized. The record is from RefSeq and is a predicted model, not a curated record. NCBI's taxonomy places the organism in Eukaryota, Metazoa, Chordata, Crocodylia, Alligatoridae. The transcript is spliced from 3 exons.
UUAACACAGCCCCCUUGCAACCUUCUAAUCUGCGCUCCCUAGGAAACAUUUUCUUCUCUCAGAACCUAGAGGAAUCAAGUGGGGAACAGUCCAUUUUUGAAAGAGGCAGAAAAUCAACAGGGAUUAGAGCAGGGAUGCCAAACUCCAGGCCUACAUAUUCCACAUUCAAAGACCUAACACAUGCGUCGAAGAAGUGAACUGACGACUCCAGUGGUGAUGCUACUGAGAGGGCUUCAGUUUCUUCAACCACAGCACACACUUCAGGGAGAGAAGACUCCUGGGAAGGGAUGGCAUCCACCUCACAUGGAGGGAUUGCCAUCAGUUGGGUGAUACAUCGAUCUGACUUGGAGCCACAAUAGUGUGUGAGGCUGGAGCAGAAGACAGUUGACCUACCCCCAAGGAAGAACAUGAAUCCCAGCAGCAGCCUAAUAGUAUACAAAGGUUUGACUCCACUCCGUUCCCUCCCUCCCUGCUUUAGACUUGGCCCUGCAAUUGAAAGCUGUUUUCAGAAAAGGACUGUCAACACAUUAAAGUAUGUGAUGCAAGUCAA